RNAcentral lists this ribosomal RNA (368 nucleotides) under uncultured organism. RNAcentral's name for it is "bacterial SSU rRNA". It matches the Rfam family "Bacterial small subunit ribosomal RNA", at positions 526 to 896 of the family's 1533-position model. The record is from RNAcentral.
CGGAGGGUGCAAGCGUUAUCCGGAUUCACUGGGUUUAAAGGGUGCGUAGGCGGGUUGGUAAGUCCGUGGUGAAAUCUCCGAGCUUAACUCGGAAACUGCCGUGGAUACUAUCAAUCUUGAAUAUCGUGGAGGUAAGCGGAAUAUGUCAUGUAGCGGUGAAAUGCUUAGAUAUGACAUAGAACACCAAUUGCGUAGGCAGCUUACUACACGAUCAUUGACGCUGAGGCACGAAAGCGUGGGGAGCAAACAGGAUUAGAUACCCUGGUAGUCCACGCCCUAAACGAUGGAUACUCGACAUCAGCGAUACACUGUUGGUGUCUGAGCGAAAGCAUUAAGUAUCCCACCUGGGAAGUACGAUCGCAAGAUUG